AUACGGGGGGUGCAAGCGUUGUCGGGAAUCAUUGGGCGUAAAGGGUUCGUAGGUGGAAUUAUAAGUCUGGUGUGAAAGCCCACAGCUCAACUGUGGAACUGCACUGGAUACUGUUUUUCUUGAGUUAUAGAGGGGUUUGUGGAAUUUCUGGUGUAGAAGUGAAAUUUGUAGAGAUCAGAAAGAACACCGGUGGCGAAGGCGACAAACUGGCUAUUAACUGACACUGAGGAACGAAAGCGUGGGGAGCGAACAGGAUUAGAAACCCGAGUAGUAC
Molecule: ribosomal RNA, 274 nt
Filed under: uncultured bacterium
Lineage: Bacteria
Description: partial 16S ribosomal RNA
Rfam family: Bacterial small subunit ribosomal RNA
Source: RNAcentral